GAGAGUUAAAUAGUACGUGAAAUUGUUGAAAGGGAAACGAUUGAAGUCAGUCAUGCUAGUGAAAAAUCAGUUUGACGGGUUUUGAGUUCAGGAGUAGAGGCAGGGUCAAACCGUUUCUCUUUUGGACUUGGGAUUUGUUAGAUGUACUUUUUCUUUGGCAGGUCAGCGUCGAUUUCGGAGGUUGUAAAAUACUUGGGGGAAAGUAACUCUGCUUCGGGAGAGUAUUAUAGACCCUGGGGGAUGCAGCCUGCGGGAUCGAGGAUUGCAGCAAAUGCCUUUGGCUUGUCGCCUGAUCUCUGGAUGUUACCUCGCUUGUGACAACAUUCUUGGUACCGGUGAGUAAUGGUGCUCAUAGGUUAGAGCGAUCAAAAAUUUUGCUAAGGAUGCUGACGUAAUGGCUUUAAACGA
This 408-nucleotide ribosomal RNA is filed under the name uncultured Diversispora. Its description in RNAcentral is "partial 28S ribosomal RNA". The record is from RNAcentral. Lineage: Eukaryota; Fungi; Glomeromycota; Glomeromycetes; Diversisporales; Diversisporaceae.